GGGGCUGAUUUAAGCUCGACAUUGGACUUUUACAGAUUGGUUCGCAUAUCGCUUGUCAGCGUUAUAGACAAACUGAAUAAAUGCAAAAACAUUUACUCAGCGUAUAGCUGAUGCUAUGAACGACAAGGUUAAUAAUUUUGUUGCUUCUAUCAGCACACCAGCUUACGCAAGUUUAAGCUUGUCUUAAACCAUGAUUUGAUCGACACCAGAUAGAUCAAAAUCGUGUUAUAUUAUCUGGUUGCUAGAAUUUUGUGCUUUUCUCCACGGAAUUCUCUAAGACAAUGAGAAAUGCGAAGAUAUCGUUUUGUUUGUUUAGCCGGUACCCUCAAAGAUAUGUAAAUAAACUAAAUAUGUAGAAGACCAGUCAAAGUAAAACCGAUGGACGUGGGUGCAAUACCCACCAGCUCCACCA
RNAcentral lists this transfer-messenger RNA (412 nucleotides) under Candidatus Saccharibacteria bacterium RIFCSPHIGHO2_12_FULL_41_12. It matches the Rfam family "transfer-messenger RNA". Rfam says of the family: Bacterial tmRNA, also known as 10Sa RNA or SsrA, is named for its dual tRNA and mRNA-like properties. RNAcentral also lists the same sequence under 1 other name. The record is from RNAcentral. Lineage: Bacteria; Candidatus Saccharimonadota.